This 638-nucleotide long non-coding RNA is filed under the name Physcomitrium patens. Its description in RNAcentral is "long non-coding RNA (PPAT_LNC010712)". The record is from RNAcentral. Lineage: Eukaryota; Viridiplantae; Streptophyta; Bryopsida; Funariales; Funariaceae.
UCAACGGUUUAUUCAUUAGAUAUUGAGGUUUAAAUCUGUCAUAGGAAUUACUAGGAUUUGGAUUAGGGUUUGGCUAGGGUUCGGUUUAGGGUUUGGAUUAGGAUUUGGAUUAGGAUUUGGAUUAGGGUUUAGGAUUUGAUUAGGGUUUGAUUUAGGGUUUGGAUUAGGAUUUGGAUUAGGAUUUGGUUAGGGUUUGAUUUAAGGUUUGGUUUAGGAUUUAGGAUUUGGAUUAGAGUUUAGGGUUGGAUUAGGGUUUUUAUUAGGGUUUGGAUUAGGGUUUAGGGUUUAGGGUUUGGUUAGGAUUUGAUUUAGGGUUUGGAUUAGAAUUUGAUUUAAGGUUUGGUUUAGGGUUUAGGAUUUGGAUUAGAGUUUAGGAUUGGAUUAGGGUUUGGAUUAGGAUUUGGAUUAGGGUUUAGAGUUUGGUUAGGAUUUGAUUUAGGGUUUGGAUUAGGAUUUGGUUAGGAUUUGAUUUAAGGUUUGGUUUAGGGUUUAGGGUUGGAUUAGGGUUUGGUUUAGGAUUUGAUUUAGGGUUUGAUUUAGUGUUUAGGGUUUGGAAUAGGAUUUAAUUUAAGAUUUGUUUAGGAUUUGACUUAGGGUUUAGGAUUUAUUAGGACUUAAGAUUUAAUUAGAUUUGGUCU